UCUGGGAUAACCCUUGGGAAACUGGGGAUAAUACCGGAUGGAUCAUCUUUGCUGGAAGGCUUGGUGGUUGAAACGCGAGGCUGUUGGAUGGGUCUGCGGCUGAUUAGGUUGUUGCCGGUGUAAUGUACCGUCAAGCCUGUAAUCAGUACGGGUUGUGGGAGCAAGAGCCCGGAGAUGGAUUCUGAGACACGAAUCCAGGCCCUACGGGGCGCAGCAGGCGCGAAAACUCUACAAUGCAGGCAACUGCGAUAGGGGAACAUCGAGUGGCGUCCAUAUUGGAUGUCUGUCCACCCGCCUAAAAAGCGGGUGUUAGCAAGGGCCGGGCAAGACCGGUGCCAGCCGCCGCGGUAAUACCGGCGGCUCGAGUGGUGGCCGAUAUUAUUGAGUCUAAAGGGUCCGUAGCCGGCUUUGCAAGUCUCUCGGGAAAUCCAGCGGCUUAACCGUUGGGCGUCUGGGGGCUACUACAUUGCUUGGGACUGGGAGAGGCGAGAGGUACUCAGGGGGUAGGAGUGAAAUCCUGUAAUCCUUUGGGGACCACCGGUGGCGAAGGCGUCUCACCAGAACAGGUCCGACGGUGAGGGACGAAAGCUAGGGGCACGAACCGGAUUAGAUACCCGGGUAGUCCUAGCCGUAAACGAUGCUCNCUAGNUNUCACAACAGUCGUGAACUGAUGUGGUACCGUAGGGAAGCCGUGAAGCGAGCCACUUGGGAAGUACGACCGCAAGGUUGAA
This 731-nucleotide ribosomal RNA is filed under the name unidentified archaeon. Its description in RNAcentral is "bacterial SSU rRNA". It matches the Rfam family "Archaeal small subunit ribosomal RNA", at positions 120 to 853 of the family's 1478-position model. The record is from RNAcentral.